Molecule: ribosomal RNA, 1342 nt
Filed under: Languria mozardi
Lineage: Eukaryota; Metazoa; Arthropoda; Insecta; Coleoptera; Erotylidae
Description: eukaryotic LSU rRNA
Rfam family: Eukaryotic large subunit ribosomal RNA
Source: RNAcentral
UAGGAUUCCCUCAGUAGCUGCGAGCGAACAGGGAAGAGCCCAGCACCGAAUCCCGCGGCCGAUACCGGACGCCGGGAAAUGUGGUGUUAGGGAGGAUUCAUUAUCCCGAGGUCGCGCGGCGCGUCCAAGUCCUUCUUGAACGGGGCCACAGCCCAUAGAGGGUGCCAGGCCCGUAGUGACCGCUGCCGUCCGCGGGAGAAUCCCUCCUCAGAGUCGGGUUGCUUGAGAGUGCAGCCCUAAGUGGGUGGUAAACUCCAUCUAAGGCUAAAUAUGACCACGAGACCGAUAGCGAACAAGUACCGUGAGGGAAAGUUGAAAAGCACUUUGAAGAGAGAGUUCAAGAGUACGUGAAACCGUUCAGGGGUAAACCUGAGAAACCCGAAAGGUCGAAAGGAGAAAUUCAUUCGCGUUUCGACGGCCGGAGGUGGAUGGUCGGGUGACGUGCGGCGUCCGCGUCGCUCGCUCCUUCUGUUCGCCGAGCCGGUGUCGAACGCGUGCAUUUUUCUCCUAGUAGGACGUCGCGAUCCGUUGGGUGCCGGUCUAAGGCCCGCGGUGGAGCCCGUUCGGACGGUUCGCCGUUCCGAGCGGACCCGUGGUGUUUCCCGGCCGGCUUGCUCGACGGUAUACAGAUGGCGCGGGGCCGCGACUCAAGUUCGCGUCCGGCCCGCGGCAAGCACGUUCGGUGCGCCGGCGAUCGGACCUGGUGCCGAUCCUGACCCCGAGCGACUGUUGGUCGCGGUGUUCUCGGACAGUCUCCGUUGAAACGCCGAUCUGCGACGCUAUAGCUUUGGGUACUUUCAGGACCCGUCUUGAAACACGGACCAAGGAGUCUAGCAUGUGCGCGAGUCAUUGGGACAUGACUAAACCUAAAGGCGCAAUGAAAGUGAAGGUUCGCCUUGCGCGAACCGAGGGAAGACGGGCGGUUUACUUUCGAGUGGCCGCCCCGCACUCCCGGGGCGUCUCGUUCUCAUUGCGAGAAGAGGCGCACCAAGAGCGUACACGCUGGGACCCGAAAGAUGGUGAACUAUGCCUGGUCAGGACGAAGUCAGGGGAAACCCUGAUGGAGGUCCGUAGCGAUUCUGACGUGCAAAUCGAUCGUCGGAACUGGGUAUAGGGGCGAAAGACUAAUCGAACCAUCUAGUAGCUGGUUCCCUCCGAAGUUUCCCUCAGGAUAGCUGGCGCUCGUAGCGCACGAGUCUCAUCCGGUAAAGCGAAUGAUUAGAGGCAUUGGGGUCGAAACGACCUCAACCUAUUCUCAAACUUUAAAUGGGUGAGAUCUCCGGCUUGCUUGAACUUAUGAAGCCGCGAGACACGGAUCAGAGUGCCAAGUGGGCCAUUUUUG